GACGAACGCUGGCGGCGUGCUUAACACAUGCAAGUCGAACGGAAAGGCCCUGCUUGUAGGGUGCUCGAGUGGCGAACGGGUGAGUAACACGUGGGUGAUCUGCCCCUUAUUUUGGGAUAAGCCUGGGAAACUGGGUCUAAUACUGGAUAGGACCAUGCUGUAGGUGGUGUGGUGGAAAGAUUAAUUUCGGUAAGGGAUGAGCUCGCGGCCUAUCAGCUUGUUGGUGGGGUAAUGGCCUACCAAGGCGUCGACGGGUAGCCGGCCUGAGAGGGUGGACGGCAACAUUGGGACUGAGAUACGAGCCAGACUCCUACGAGAGGCAGCAGUGGGGAAUAUUGCACAAUGGGAGCAAGCCUGAUGCAGCGACGCCGCGUGGGGGAUGACGGCCUUCGGGUUGUAAACUCCUUUCGGCCAUGACGAAGCCCUUGUGGUGACGGUAGUGGUAGAAGAAGCACCGGCUAACUACGUG
Molecule: ribosomal RNA, 469 nt
Filed under: uncultured bacterium
Lineage: Bacteria
Description: partial 16S ribosomal RNA
Rfam family: Bacterial small subunit ribosomal RNA
Source: RNAcentral